This 1305-nucleotide ribosomal RNA is filed under the name Triticum aestivum (bread wheat). RNAcentral describes it as "partial small subunit ribosomal RNA". The record is from RNAcentral. Lineage: Eukaryota; Viridiplantae; Streptophyta; Magnoliopsida; Poales; Poaceae.
AUGGAUAGCAGCAGCUGGAUCCAUGGAUAUGGCACCAACGGCGGCGCCGCCGCCGGUAACAGCGGCUUCAUGUGCGGUUACGCCGCCAGCUACGUCGUCCCUGAAGGGCUGCAGAGCAGGAAGGAGGAAGAGGAGCGCACACAGAUUCAGCACCACCUCAACCAGAUCAGCAUGCAGAUGAGCAUGGAGGACGAGCCAGGCGCGUACAUCGUCCCUGCCGUGGGCAUGCAGCAGUCUGUCCUAGACGAAGUCGAUUUCCUCCCCUCGCACCACGCCGGUGGCUGCAGCUUCCCCUCCUCGUCCUCCACCUGCUCGUUCCGUUCCGCCUCGCUCUCUUGCAGCCCGGAGAACUCGUCGGCGCACGCCCUCACGACGCCCGCCGCCGGCCUGCACUUCCCCGAGGUCUCCUCGCAUCUACCGCCGGUGGUGCUCCCAUGUGACGAUGACUACCACCAGUACGUCCUGAACUUCCACGACACGGCCGCAAUGGAGCCUAGCGUGGUGCCGGCAAGCGCGUUCAGCCGCUACGCGCGGCAGCUCGGCGCGAGGCGGAGGCCGAAGCCGGCAUGCGGGCAGAAGAUGUUCAAGAAAUCCAUGUCCGUCCUGGUCAAGAUGCAGACGGCGAUGAGGUACAGCCAUCAGCAGCAUCACUUCCAGCAAGCGUCGGCGGAGGCCGAGCUGUCGUCGGUGAACCAGCUGCAGCACAUGAUCUCCGAGCGCAAGCGCCGGGAGAAGCUCAACGACAGCUUCCAGGCUCUCAAGACCGUCCUUCCUCCCGGCUCCAAGAAAGACAAGACGUCGAUACUGAUCACCGCGAGGGAGUACGUGAACUCCCUCAAGUCCAAGGUCUGCGAUCUCGAGGAGAAGAACAAGGCGCUCCAGGCGCAGCUGGCCGAGUGUGCCCGCGCCGCCGGGGUCGAAGAAGACGACGCCGAGAAGGUCGAAAUCCAAAUAACCAGAGCGGCGGCGGAUCGGGAAGAUGGGACGACUACGAGCGAGGUUUGCACGGUGAAGAUAGCGGCGAGGCCGGCGCAUGGCAACACGAUGGACGUGGUGCUCAGGACGCUGCAGUGCCUCAAUGACCAGAUGGGGGAAGACGACGUCAGCCUGGUGGCCAUGAGCACCAGCGACGGCGACGGCGGCAACGGCCUCACCGGAGCAUUCCUGACGAUGCAGCUCAAAUCAGCGUCCGGCGCCAAGUGGGAGGAGGAGGCGGUCAGGGAAGCCGUGGCGAAGGCCGUCGCAGCCCGCACGGGCGCCGACCGCCGUGGCGACGCCGCCGGCCGGUCUUGGCACGCCGAAUGA